This 284-nucleotide long non-coding RNA is filed under the name Homo sapiens (human). RNAcentral's name for it is "HSALNT0398466". The record is from RNAcentral. Lineage: Eukaryota; Metazoa; Chordata; Mammalia; Primates; Hominidae.
AGCCACCGCACCCGGCCCCUGAGGGAAUGCUUGAAAUUGCUUUCAUGUAAAAGCACCUACACCCAGGCCCCCCCCACCCACGAACAGCUUCGUGGACAGUUUACUCAGACUGAGUCGAAGGUAAUUUUAAGAUGGAGAAACUGAGCCCGAGAGAGAGAAGAGGAGUCAGCUGAGCCUCCCCCAGAUAAGACAAUCGCCAAAUAUUCUGGGACCUUGCUGGGGGCAGACAGCCCUCCCUGCCCAGCAAUGGGCCUUUGGGAUGUGGCACAAGCUCCCGGGAAACC